GUCACUCUCUGCUCUGUUGACAUCCGCCGCUGACAGUGAAAACAAAAGUUGAAACUGCUGUUGUUCCUGUGACAAAUGUUUUAUUUUUCAACCACGGUUACAUUCAAACACUUCUUGUAGAAAUAAAUUUAUUUAUAUUUCCGGUAACGACUUGUUACUUGUCCCUGCAGUACGACGCGGACGCGCAGACAUGUAGGUUUCUGCUAGCGCCGCUAAGCUAACUGUAUCGACGUCGGUAGCGCCGUCCGUUGGUCAGUACCGUCGACUCGUAAAAGUAUUGUUGUUGUUGUUGUUUUUUUUUAUUUAAAAACAAGAUGUCGGACUCUGUCGGGAUAACGCUGCCUCCGGACUGGGACGACGACGAGCGCAUGAACUUCAUGUUCUCCGACUUCAAGGAGAACCGAGACGUAAACGCGAGCGAGUGGGACAGUAAGAUGGACUUCUGGACGGCGCUCGUCCUCCGCAGCUGCAGGGAGCGACGCACCGUGUGCGUCAGCCUGCAGGAGCUGAACAAAACCUUCAGGCGGAAGGAGAAGUCCCCGCUGGGCCUGGCCACGGUCGUCCAGUCCAUGGUCAGGUGCGGGAAGAUCCAGAGGGAGUCGGAGUUUGCAGUGGACUGCGGCUGGUUGUCCUGGGCCAUGGGCCUCCUGCUGGUCAAACCUCUGAAGUGGACCUUGUCCUCCCUGCUGGGCAGCGGACAGCUCCCCCUGCAGGAGUCCUUUGUUGUCCACGAACUCGUGAAGGAAAAAGCAGCCGAGCUGCUGCGGGCGUACGGAAAGAGCGAGUUCUCCCGACGCGCCGUCCUUUCGUUCAGCGAGGUUCGCGGCCUGUCCUCGGACGUCUGCGCCGAUGAGAGCACGCUGUGCAUGGCUCUGCUGCAGCUGCAGAGGGAGAAGAGAGCGACGGUGGCGCUGCACGAGGGCGAGAAGAUUGUCAAGUUCGGCCAGCGCGGCUCGGUGUCUCCGGUCAACGACGUGGACGUCGGGAUAUACCAGCUGCAGCAGAGUGAGAAGCUGCUGGAGGACCAGGUGAAGAAACUAGGCCUGGAGGCAGACAGGUGCAGAGACGAGGUGAGGUUUCUGCUGCGAGAAGGGAAGAAAUCACAGGCGCUGAGGAGUCUGAGAGGCUGCAAGAGGUUAGAGAAGAGGAGCGACAACCUGUCCUCCAACCUGGAGACCAUCAGAGGAAUCCUGGACAGGAUCGCCCAGUCUGAGACCGAUAAGAUGGUCAUACAGGCCUACCAGGCCGGAGUGUCCGCCCUCAAGGUGGCGCUGAAGGACGUGACGGUGGAGCGGGCCGAGAACCUGGUGGAUCAGAUUCAGGAGUUGUGCGACACCCAGGACGAGGUGAACCAGACUUUGUCCAGCGGAGUCAGCGGCACAGAUGUGGACAUGGACGAUUUGGAGGACGAGCUGAACUCACUGCUGGAGGAGUCGAACCCGGACGCCGCGUCAGGUCUGCCCGCUGUUCCGACCGCUCCGCUGUUACCCUCCGGGGGGCGGGGCCUUUCGGCGGACGGUCUGCUCAGCUCUCUGCCCGCGGUGCCUCAAGGUCUGGUGGAACAGUUGGACCGGUUGACGCUCACGCCGUCAGGUGUCCAACCCGCGAACGCGUCGUCGAAGAAAUUAGAACCUGCGUAGUGUCAAGGUCGCAAAGGUGAAAGGUCGACAGGGGACGCGUGUCCGCGAGUAAGUUAAAAAAAAAACGUCAUCAGUCCGAGGUCGCGAUGAGCGCGGGAACCAAAAAAAACAGUUUGGAUUCGUUUGAAAAUACAUUUUAUAAUUUUGAACAUGUGCCAAAUGGUCAAAAACCACUAUAUCGGUAUGAAGGUCUGGUGUUGUAUCGCGAUGUAACCGUUUUCUCAAAAUAAAGUUUAUUUUAAUCAC
Molecule: RNA transcript, 1886 nt
Organism: Cynoglossus semilaevis (tongue sole)
Lineage: Eukaryota; Metazoa; Chordata; Actinopteri; Pleuronectiformes; Cynoglossidae
Gene: chmp7
Gene name: charged multivesicular body protein 7
Exons: 11
Source: RefSeq, a predicted model, not a curated record